GGUCGGUGCUUCAGAGUAAAUCCACCCCAAGGAGAAAACCUGCUCCGUGUUUGGGAGGGCAUGAAUGAGCUGGGAAGUUAGUUGUGUCCCAAAAAAAACCCCCAGAAAAACCCCAAAAUUCUAACUGCGACCUUAUCCAUCCCAAAUAACCUAGGAUGGGAAUGCUGAAAGCACCUGCAGCGUGGCGAAAUCAUACUAAAAAAUGAGGGAUUUUGGGGGCUUGAGUGGGUUUGGGGGAAGGGGUGAUUUUCCUUUGCUUUUAGGAGAUGACCCUAAUUUGUUUGGGUCCCGAUUUUGCCUUUUCCUGGCUAAAGGGCAGCCUGGGAGCUGCCAGGCGCUCCCCUAGGUAGGGCAAGCACAGGUGAGUCACAGCUCCAGGGAUGGGGAUGCGGCAGCUGGAUGAACUUUGCUCCAGGAAGGUGAGAGGUAACAACCUGAUGCACCCACACCAGCCACUACCCCCCCCACCAAAAAAAAACCAAAAACCAACAACAACAAAAAAAAAUUUAAUUUUUCCAUUUUAACAUUUGGAAAAAGGGAACUUUUCAUGGCAACAGGAAAAAAAAAAUCCAGCAAAAAAUCCUUGUAUUUUGAUUAAAUUUCAGCAGUUUGAAGAUAUGAAAGGGUAAAACUGGCAGGAAAACUGCUUUUUGGAGGCUCGUCCCAAGUAGGGCCAGGGUGAGUCAGCUCCUCCCGCUCCCUUCCUAGCUGCAAACGCGCUGCCCGGCUCUGAUCCGGGAGCCUUUCGGCUCCAACUUCGCCAUUAAAGGCAACUUUGGGGGGGGAAAAAUAAUUAAAUAAAGGGAAAAGUCAAUUUUUAAGGGCAGCUUUGCCCAGGCAGCUCCUGCCAAACCCCACGUCGGUUUUUUAACUCCUUGCAGGAAAAAGCAUCUUUAUCAGGAAAUUAGGGACAAAUCCCCUCUUAUUUCCAUAAAAUAAACAUAUUAGAGCUCAGCUAACCCAAACUCCUAGUUUUAUCCCUAUUAAUUCCUCUGUGUUAUAGGAAAGACAGAUUUUAAAUAAAUUUAUAGUAUUUGUUUUCUUUUUAGCUGCUUCCUGCUUCCUCCCCAGCUCCAACACGGAAGCCAGGACACUCCUGGAGGAUCCGGGGGGGCGACAGGGGCCCCCAAACCCGCUGUCUUCGGCUUUACAACUCUAUUUUUAACCCUUUUUUUUUUUAUCCUCCAGCCUGGAAGGACUUCAAAUACAGCCCACCUCAUGGAUCAAGGGAAAGAAUAAUCAAUUUAAAAGCAAAAUAAUAAUAUUAAUAUAUUAAUAUAAAGAUAUUGAAAGAGUGGCCCAGCAGGGAAUUCUAAAUUUUUUCACUCCAGCAUGGAGGAUUUUGGGACGCUGCUGCCUCAUAAAAAAAAAAAAAAAGUGAAUUCAUAAUUCCUUCUAAAUAAUAUUAAAAAGUAUAUUCCAGGAGGGAAUUUCAAGUUUUUUAUAUUCUAGCAUGGAGGAUUUUGGGAUGCUGGCAGUCCCAUGGAGCACAAAAGAUCAAUAAUUCCUUAAAAAUCCAAAUAAUAGGUUUAAAAUGGGAUCCCAGGAGGGAAUUUUGGGAAAAUCCACAUGACAAAGACAACAUUAAAAUGAUCCAUGAGGAUUUAAGGAGCAGCCCAGGGGCCGCUCACGAGUGUUCCCCCCCGGGGAUGGUAGAGGGGAUGUGGGCAGCUGGUGCAGCCCCUUGCACACUCAUUUGCACUUUCCCAGGAACGAGGGCACACGGGUAACACGGCUGCAGCUACCUCCCAGCCCGGGAAAAGCUCACAUCCCCACUGAAAACCAGGAAAAAUCCACUCCAAACCCACAGGAGGGGACGCAAAGCCAGAGAACCUGGGGGUCACGCCAGCACUGUGGGGACCGGCUGGGAUUUGGGCUGAGGCAGAGAAUCGUGGGGGAUGGGGAGAAGCAUCGGAGUGGUGGAAUUCGACUUUGUAUUUAUUUUUCUUCCCUACUUAAAGGUCAUCCAGGGACGCAACACAAUCCCAGUGAGUUUUGCAACUGCGACCAGCACGGGAGACGUUUUUGCAUGGAACGAGCUGGAAAAAACACACGGAAUGUGCAACACUCCCCCCCCCCACCUCCAUCCUGGGUUAAUAAUAUUAAUUAUUAAGUGUAAAGGGGGUUGGGAAGGGGAGUUUGUCCCCCACCUCCCAACCGCCAACUGCUUCCAUGAAAAAUCCCCUUUUUUCCCAUGCAAAACACACUCUGGAUGGAAGUGUCACCCAUCAGUGCUUGGCAAACCAUCCCUGCGAUUAAUUACCUUCACAAAAAUUAAUCAUUUCUAACCCAAAUUCAUCCAAGGCGGGGGGUUACGGAGCUGGAAAAGCAGCGGGAACGCGACUCCGGCUCCAUUCAGGAAGCCGGGAGUUAAGUGCGUCGGAUUUCUCGGGUACGAGACCAAAUUUGCGUUUAAUUCCUGCCCCCAUCACCGCGCUGCCGGCCGGCACGUUCCCGGCUCCCACCCCCAAUCCCACCACCCAUCCUGGAAAACAGGCGCGGCGGCCGAGACCAUCGGAAUGAAAUCAUUACAAAAUAGAAGAUAUAUACACAGCAGACGAGGAAAUCCGGGUCCCGAUGCCCUCGAUCCCUUCCCUGCCCCGCAUCGCCCGUGACGAGCUCGUUAUCUCGCGGCCUCUCCCGUCCCGACCCAGUGCCACCCUCAGGAGCAUCAGCGACACGCAAAUCCGGGUGACACAAGGGAUUUGGGGAGGAGAUUUGGACGCAGCUCCCAUUUUUUCAGGGCACCAUGACAUGGACGAAAACAUGGGGAGAAAAGAGGUCGGGGCUAAAAAUAACCGUGUGAGUCACGGCCGGCACGGGGAGUGUUGUGCUGACAGAGCCAGAGCUGAAUGCAUGGGAAGAGAAGAGGAAAAAACCCAUUUUCCCUUUGGCUUCACACGUUCAUGCAUGAAGAUCCCUAGUCCGACAGCAAGAAGAAAGAAAAAGGGGAAUAUAUUGCUAUUAUUAUAUAUAAAUAUAAUAUUAAAUAUACAAAUAAUCCUGCUUUCCCCAUUCCAUGAAAUUGCCUUGGAUUUCCCAAAGAACCCUUAAAACAGCCAAAACAGCAGAAAAGGGGGAUUUCCCCCCAUCUUCCAUGAUAUUAUGAUGAAUUAAUUCCCAUUUGCCCAUUAUUUUCCCCUUGAGGAGCUAUUUCUGAAGCUGAAGACUGUUACUGACAAUAAUUAAUCCGUAAUUAGAAUAAGCAGAUAAUAGCCACUCCAAUGACUUCAUUUACAGGGAUAUUCCCUUUCUUAAAAAAAUUUUGGAUUAAUUAUUUGAUUUUAUUUCAUCCCAUUGCCGUGAUGUGGGCGAUGCCAUGGGGGAUUAUUUUGGGGAGAGUUUUUGAAGUUUUGUGGUCCAGUCACUGGGAUUUUCUCCACCUGGGGAGGAAAGGGGUGGAGGAGGGAGAACAGAAAGGCGGAAUAGGGAGAAAAAAAAUAGAUGGAUUACAAAGAAAAAGGGUAGAAUAUGGAGAAAACUGGUGGAAUAAGAAGAAAAGCCAGAACAGCGAGAAAAAGGUGGAACUGCGAGAAAAAAAAGUGAGGCGGGGGAAAAAAGGUGGAAUAGGGAGAAAAAUGGGAGGAUUAGAGACAAAAAAGGGUGAAACAGAGAGUAAAAAAAAAAGGUGGGACUGAGAAAAAAGGUUGGAUUGGAGAGAAUAAAGGCGGAAUAGGUGCAAUAGGGAGAAAAUGGGUGGAACGCGGUGAAAAUAGGUUGGAAGAGAGAGAAAAAAGGUGGAACACGGUGCUGGGGGGGGAGGUUUGAGAAUGGAUUAGAGAGAAAAAGGACGGGAAAAGGCCGUUUGUCCGUGUUUCUGCCACUCCCGGCACGUCCCCAAGGUCCCAGCGGU
This is a long non-coding RNA of Oenanthe melanoleuca, 3853 nucleotides long. RefSeq lists it as uncharacterized. The record is from RefSeq and is a predicted model, not a curated record. The transcript is spliced from 3 exons. NCBI's taxonomy places the organism in Eukaryota, Metazoa, Chordata, Aves, Passeriformes, Muscicapidae.